Pelobates cultripes (western spadefoot toad) is the source of this 244-nucleotide non-coding RNA. The record is from the annotation of a GenBank genome assembly. NCBI's taxonomy places the organism in Eukaryota, Metazoa, Chordata, Amphibia, Anura, Pelobatidae.
GCCCCCGGUUGCCAUGCCUCCUCCCUCCCAGCUUUUGCUCAGCUGGUUACAGUAGAGGAGAAGUAGAUCACAGCUUUUUAUAUAAGAAAAGACCAAAUACCUGUGAAAUGGAUCUACUAUUUAAGAGCAAAGUUUUAUGGAUAGCAGGCAAUCUAUGCACUUUUGCCUCACUACUUUGGCACCUAUUGUGGAAUGGAGUGAAACUAAAAAAGGACAAAAAGGGAGCUGAAUCUGAUGUUAAGGU